CACUUGCACUGCGGGUGCUCUCUGGCCCCCACCCCAUCAUCGCGCAACACACCCCCUUCAACAUGCGCGGCCACCCUUUCAUUGCCCUGCGCCCCGAGCGGUCCCACCGCCCGGCAAAACACUGAGCAAGCCGCUGCUCUCACCUUGCUUGACACACUUGAGCCGGAGGGGGUCCUUGCAGUGUUUGAUCACGGCCAGCACGUCCCUGAUGGUGAGCCCCGCCACGGGGGUCUCGUUCACCUCCAGCAGCAGCUCCUCCGACACCAAUUUGCUGCCGCUCUCAUAGGCCACCUUGCCGGGCUUCACCUCCCCCAGCAGAGGAAGCAGUGGUGGUGGCGUCGGCGGCGGCGGCGGCGGCAGCCGGAGCGAGCAGUAGCCGAGCUGGUGAGCGGGUGUGGUGGGGGUGGGGAAGGAGGGUAGGGAUGCCGGGGGCCACUCCUGCGUGGUGCGAGUGGGAACGCGCGCGCGCGCCUGGGUGUGUGUUGUUAGCUGAUAUCCAUGGCAGCUGCAGUGGCAGGUGUUCCCUUCUUUUCGCCAGGUUUGCAUCCAAGAGAGGGGAGGACAGGGGCAAAAGGAUGCAGGGAGGCUGCUGAUUUCCACUGAAGAGCUAAUUUCCUGUGAGACAUUAACAGUGAUUUAAGAAAAAGAUUCCUGUAACUGUAAUGUCUUACAAUAACAGAAUGCAGGAGAGCACAUAUCAAUGAAGAAAAGACAAAAUGUACUUAUCCAUGAAGCUGAGGUUAAGAAACCAGUGUCUUCAAGAGCCAGGGACAGCACUGGGUCUGUGCAGAGUUGAGAGAUGGUGAUGACAUGUGGUUUCCAGCAUUCCUCACCCAGUCCAGGGACACUGUGGGUGUGCCCAGCUUAAGUCCAGUAACUGGAAAUACAAGCCCAAGUUCUGGAGAGUUUGAGCUGCAGAGAUAUAUAUGGGAACACUUUGAAUCUUGACUCAUUGGCCAUAACCAGCAGAGUGGAAAAUACAAGAAGAGAAAAAAACAUUGAACUGCGAUUUUAUAACAUCCUUUACUAGGCAGAGAGAAGAGGAAACACCAGGAAAGAAAACUGUAUUACGAUGUGAAAACUUAAUGUUGAGAAAUUCAGGCAUCUUGGGGUUAGUGAGGAGAAGUUUUAGGGGCUUAGAUUCUUCUAAACACAUGUACAGAAAUGCAUAUUUCAUCUGAUAUCAAAUGGCAUUUAUAGUGCUAAUCUUUACCUCAAGACUUCACAUCUUUUGGUGAUUGCAUCUUUUAGGUUUAUAGCAGCUAAGUUUGCAUGAAAACACCAGGGCUGUUUCAUUUCAGUCAAGAAUUAAUGUUCAUUGAUUGUGCUUCUGCAUUUCAUGUAACUAUUGUAGAAUUUGUUUUAGUUUUAUGAGGGAAUAAUUGUUCCAACUUCUAUAUAACUCAGGAAUUUACUCUCAAACAACACUGUCAAUUAGUUACUUAUCUCUCUGGAAAUGAUCUGGGAACAUGGAGAGGAAAGGGAGGAAGGGGCAAAAUCUGACCACUUAAAUCUAAGCAUAUUAGAUCAUUUUAUGCUAGAAAGUCCUGAAUGAUGUGACUUUCGUUCUUGUAAAACACCUCUUUCCAUAGAUUCAUGGCCCAAACAGUAUAUAAAGAGUGGGGAAGGAACUGCAUUUGCAAAUAGUUCAAAUCAUUGCUCCAUCUUAACUACGCAGUUCACAAAGUGUGAAGAAAUGUGAUCAUCUCAAAAAAGAUAAUGGGGAAAAAAUAUGUUUUGUUCUGUGACUUUAAAGUCUUGCAAUAUUUUACAUAAAUGAUAAUGGGUGCUUUAAUAAGAACUCUUGAUACUUUUGUUAUUGUAUUCAAUAUAUGCAUAUAAUACAACAGGAUGAUAUUGUUUUGGAUUUGGAAAUGUAUUCUUUCUUAUGCAAUCUUAUGCAGUCAUACUGCUUGAAUAUCAUUACCUGAAUUUAUCUUUCUUUUUUUUGUUGUUGUUUUACACUCUACUUAUUUGGUGCCUGUCAGUCUUUUGUCGUCAGUUUAUAUUCUACUAAACUCAAAAAGACAAUCUCAUACCUUUUGUAAUUGUAGGCAUUCUUUACUAGAUUUUUAAAUACACUUCAAAAAUUCAAGUACUUUGAUUUCAUGCCAUCAAGUAGCUGAAUCUAUCCCCCCGUCUCUUUUUAAAUUUAAGUGAGUAGUUCAAUUUCUGUCACUUUCUACUUUGUGAAUUCUAAAUCUUUUAAAACCAUCUUGCCAUUUUUCGUGCACUUACCCUUACAGAAAACUCUGUGAAACACUACUUAUCUCUACUUUUAUGUUUUUAACUCCUUUUUUAUAUUACUAUUCCCUCUGCUUUCUAAAUGCACAUAUUAAUUUGUUCUUUUUAUUCUCUGUAGCUCUUCUCAGUGUAUGAAUUCAGUUUCCCAUCAGUCUCCAUACAAUUAAAAAAAAGUUGAGUAUUCUGUUAUUUUAAUAAGAUAUCUAGUGCCCAUAUUCUAAUUCUGCCCCUUAUUUUUAAUAUAAUUUUAUUGUUGAUUUAAAAUGACAACAGUUUCAAUUCCCAGAAAGUGAAAGGAAACAAAGGAAUAAUAUUAUAGGCUUAAUUUUUAUCAGUGAACUUGUAGGUGAAGAAAAGAUUUGGGGAAGGAAAUGAACAUAUUAUAUUGCAAAAUAGUAAGGAACAAUCAGAUGUGUUUUCUAGUCUCUGGAAAAGCAUGUUUCAAGAAAUUCAAUGAAAAGUUCAUCAUGCUUGCUUAGAUUGUUGAGAAGCAAAAACACUGAUGAACAUUUGGAAGCAAUGAGAAUGUAAUUCUAAUCAUACUCUUUUAAUAAUGUUGCAAAACUCUCCAAACACUACUCUGUGUGGAUGUCUUUCAGAAUAUGAUGAAUACUAGUAGUCUUAUUCUGCCCUUUUCUCUCUAUCACAAUAUAUACAUUCUAUAUUGCAUACACAUAUUUUCCAAAUAUUACAUAUAAUUUCAUGUAAUUUAUAGACCUAUUAAGGCCCAACCAUUUUCUUGGAUAGGGGAUUCUUUAGAAGUCCAGCUUAAAUAAAGCCCGUAUAGAAAGUUUUUUUAAAAUUUAUACAUAAUCACCUAAAGUAACCUUAUCUACUGAACUCUUAGUACAUGCUACUGGAACCUUUUAUCAUGUUUCUUCCUGGCUUGCAUUACAACACUGUUGACAUAUCUCAGCCUUACUUCUAGGCUUCUUUGAGAGCAUGACUCAUGUUUGUAUUCCUCACUGAGGUUGAAUGAAUAAGAGAAACUACAGUAGUAGGAAAAAACAGUACAUGUACAUAUCAAUGAAUAUGAAAGGGUCAAAUGGAUCUAUUAUAGUAAGCACAAAAUCAACUGACACCAGCAAAGUAAACCCAAAAUUUUUAAUGGUAUUUUAAUAGAUCAAGAGGAGCAAGCAGAUUUUUGAGACAGUUGUCUCCUACUUUCUCUAUCACAGGGAGUAAUUUUAAAAGAAAAAUGGAGGGUAAGUUUCUUUAAGAGAAAAUUGUAGUUUAAAACAGGUCAUGGGAUAAUUAGAAAUAAUUUAAUUUCUUUAGAGGAUUUUAAUCUUUCAACUGCUUGCAAUUAGAUCCUAAGGCAAUAAAAGAAUAAGGAGAUUUGGAAAACCAUUGUCUGUAAUCUCUGAAGAAAAGUGGACAUUAGGGGAGUCAGUUGAAAAGCAAAGCUAUCACCAUUUUCUAAAGAGGAAAAAGGUGAACCUCACAAACUAUAGACCAAAAAAAUAGGACAUCGAGAGAAAGAAUAUGAAGCUAGCAUAGGUUCACAAAGAAUGAGUCAAAUCAAACAACAUGCAUUUUUUAUUUAUAAAGCAUGACUUGUUCAUUGUCAAUUCAUGUUAGCUUAAUCAUUAGGCAUUAAUGCCAUCACUGCAAUGCAUAUGUCAGCAAUAAAUAAUCAAAGACCAGGCUUCCAUCAUUCUGUUUAAUAUCUUCAAGUAAUGCUUAAGUUUGCAAAUGCUCUUUUAACACAUUCUCCAUAUGCAGCCUGCCCAGCACUGCACACAAUAGACCUGUUACUUCCCCCUCACGAGCACUCCUAAUAUUUCAUGUGCUCAUCCAAUUGACUUCUCCCACUGGUGCCUCAUAUUGAAUUUGUAGAAUCACACCUGCUCCUUUUUCAAAACUCUUCUGAGUUUUUUCUUAAAUAAUUCACUGACCCCAAAGUUGUCAGAUAUUUGAAGACUACUCGCACAAUUUUAAUAUUAUAAAUGUAUAAUGUAAAUGUAAUUAAGAUUUGUAUAAUGUACGAUGUACUUUGGUAAAUAAAAGUAUGCUGUGAAUAAAUACGUAUGAUACAAUUCAAAAUUUUACAUAAAUAUGUGAUAAAAUUUAGCUCAUAUUCUUUUUUUUUUUCUUUGAGACGGAGUCUCACUCUGUUGCACCCAGGCUAGAGUGCAGCAGCAUGAUCUCAGCUCACUGCAACCUCUACCUCCUGGGUUCAAACAAUUCUCCUGCCUCAGCCUCCUGAGUAGCUGGGAUUACAGGUGCCCGCCACCAUGCCCAGCUAAUUUUUUUCUAUUUUUGUUGUUGUUGUUGUUUUUAGUAGAGACGGGGUUUCACCAUGUUGGUCAGGCUGGUCUUGAACUCCUGACCUCAGAUAAUCCACCUGCCUCGGCCUCCCAAAGUUCUGGGAUUACAGACGUGAACCACGGUGCCCGGCCUAGUUCAUGUUCUUUAAGGACAAUUAUGAAUAUUUUUAUGCACUGUUAAUUUUCAUUAAGAUAUUGAUCAAUUAAUAGCUAUAUAUGUUCUAUAAAUUAAUCCUAUCUAGUUUCAAUCUUAAAUUGUUUGCAUAUACCAAUCUAGUUUAUUGUUUGCAUAUAUUUUAUAGUGUAGAGAUUAGGCAUUUUAAUAAAAUUUUAAAAUUUCCAGGACAUACUGUUAAUGACUAUGCUUCCUACUAUAGGCCAUAAUUAAUUUUUUUCUAUUGUCAACAAUAUUUUGGUAGGGAUGAUCAGGAAAUAAGGAAAUGUUUCCUUCAUUUGUUAACAAUAGGUGUUUGGGGAUUUUAAAAUGAAAAUUGAAGAAGUAAAAGACACCAUAUAUUUAGUUUGUUUGAUUUCGUGGCUUCAAGAGUUCAAUAAUUUAUUGAAAUAUUUUACAGACCAAAGAACAACAGAUAUAUUACGUUUAUAAGCCCCCACAUAUUUUAAAGGAUAAUGGUUUAUAUAUGAAAAUUCCCUGAACCUACACUUCAUCAGGAAAAGCUAAAUAAAAGAAGUUUACAUUUCCUAGGACUAAUGGAGAUUUAUUUCCCAGUCCUCUUCUCUGGAGACAAAUGUAGGUCUCUCUUGAAAAGCAGAAAGUUUUGCAUAUGAGGUAUGAUUUAGUGGGCUAGAAACAUCUUUUCCACCCUCCCCAAAAUGUUUCACUAUGUUUUAUCAUACUAUCUGAUAAUUUUGCACUAAAGUUUUCUUUCUGUGUUAAGAAAAUGCAAAUAUCUCUGAAUGGGUCUCUUUGCUUUAGUCAUACUCAUAUGGCUACUACUGAACAAAAUAUGUUCAUUACAGGAUGAAGGGAAUGUUGCCAGCCAGCAAAUCCCUAGAGUUUGCACUACACCAAACGUUGCUUAGCAAUUUCCACGAUUUUCUCAGUCUAAUUUGCAAGAAUCAAGGAGAUGUUUGUGUAUGCUACAUGAAGUUGUAAAAUUGGUAUUUAUUGUAUGUUUCUAUAUCGAAAGCUUUACAAACAAAGGAAAUGGAAAGUUAACAGGUGGAUAUGAUAGUGUGGCACUACUUUAGCUGGAUGGUAAGGGAGAGCUUCUCUUAGGAAGUGUUUUAGGCCAGGACUUGAAUAAUGAACAGUAUCUAGUUGUACAAAAAUCUGGAGGAAAGACUUUUCAGGCCCAGGAGAAAUGAAAAUUCUUUUCAUGCAUACAAGAAUGAAAGUGAAAAUUACCUACUCUAUGUCCUGAAGUGGGAAGUUGGCUUGCCAGAGAGUAGGUAAUUUUCACUUUGAUUCUUUCAUGCCUUCAGUUAUACUACUUCUUAGGUUAGUUCAUAAGGGUUUCCACAAUUUGGUUCCCACUUAAAAUUUAAAACUUCCCUAACCCAUUCCCACCAUAUAUUGUGCUAAUCCAUGCAUAUGUGACUUUGCGUAUGCUGUUUUCAUUGUUUAAUAUUCUUCUCAUGCAUUCGUUCUUUCCUGAUAACGAACUCAUCUUUGAAACUCCCCUUCAAGCAUCCUCUACUUUAGGAGGCCGCUUCUCACUGUCUCCUGCCUACCACCCAUUGAAUUGUUCAAUUUUUAAGCUGCCAUUGUCUUGUGCAGUUGACACAUUUCUUUGCAAUUACUGAUUUACAUGUCUGCUUUUAUCACUGGUGAGGUUCUUUAGGACAGAGACAUUAUUAAUUCAUCUCUGGGCACAUAUGUUCCAACAUAUUAGAAGUACUACAGAGUGCUAUUACUAUGUAGUAUGUAGUAUUAGUAGUAGUUACUCACAAAUCAUUUUUAAAUAAGUGAUUAUAAUAUCUUUUUGUUAUUAUGAUUUAACACAAGAUGGAAUUUAUUUUCAGAAGUUUCCAUGAUAUAUUUGUUCUAUUUAAAAUCCAAUAGCCAUUAGAAUAUUACCAUUAUUUAAUGUAAAACAAUAAAAUAUUAAAUAUGAUCGUUCAUAUUUAAUGCAAACCGAACUCAUGGAAAUAUUGUGUAAAGAUCAAGUAAUUUUUGACAUACAAUUUUAAACUCAACUUUUCAUAUAGCAUACCUUAUGAUAUAUUUUCAGCCUACUUUUAAAUAUGUUGGCAUUGAAAGCCAGUUACUAAUUCGCUGAAUUCAUGAUUUCUUUUUAAGUUAUAGAAGUGGAAUUAUGUUUGAGAUAUUCAUUGCAUUACAUUUACCAGAACUUGAGUUCUUAACAUGGAACCUGAGAGUUUCUCCAAUUCUUAAGUCCCUGGGAGAAAUAGAUUAGCUGGAUGAGGAACUGAGAGGAAAAAUGGUCAGAGAUGUAGCAAGAGUUGGGAAGAAGGAACAAUGAUUUGCUUUCAAGGAGAUUUUUUCAUUGGUCUGUUUUCAGUGACAAACCCACUGCGAUAAUACAUGUAAAGUGAAAACAUUCAGGAAGUUCCCUUAGAAACCUCUUUUCUGGCAGUUCCUAAUUCUACAACAUUGUAUAAGUGAAAUACCAUAGUUACUGUCAUAGUAAAUUGAGCCAAGAGAAACAAGGGAGCAGGAGAAGAAAAGAAUUAAAGAGAGUUUUGUCUUUCAGUCUUCACUCUGUUUCUUCUUGCUUUUACCAGUCAUUCAGGUUUAUAUAAUUUCUUUAGAGAGGCUUCUACUAUGCAGGUCUUCCUUAAAGUCAUUGGUAUUACCUGGCAUGAUAUGUGAGCCUUUAAUAUCAGUCCCUUUAUCUCUUUAUUUUUAAAGUUUAUAUCAGUACAGAGUCCUGGAUUCUUAAUUAAUUUAAUAGGUUAGACUUUAUGCUAAUAUUCUUCAUUUUGAUGCUCAAAUUUUCCAAAAUUUGGCCAGCAGGGUUCCUUAAAGCUGGGUACCUUGCCCUUUCAACAUGUCCCUCUGAUUCUUUAUUUUUAUUUACUUAUUUAUUUAUUUAUUUAUUUAUUUAUUUAUUUAUUUAUUUAGAGACUGAGUCUUGCUCUGUCUCCCAGCCUGGAGUGCAAUGGCACAAUCUUGGCUCACUGCAACCUCUAUCUCCCAGGUUCAAGCAAUUCUCCUCCCUCAGCCUCCCGAGCAACUGGGACUACAGGCAUGUGCAACCAUGCCUGGCUAAUUUUUUUUGUAUUUUUAGUAGAGACAGGCUUUCACCAUGUUGGUCAGGCUGGCCUCGAUCUCCUGACCUCAAAUGAUCCAUCGCCUCGGCCUCCCAAAGUGCUGGGAUUACAGGCGUGAGCUGCCACACCCAGCCGUCCCUCUCAUUCUUUAAGUACUUCCAUGUUUUCUAAGGUACAAGAUGUUCCAUAUUAUUUUGUUAUUUGUCUUCCCCAGCUCUGAAAUCUGCCUUUCCUUCAAGGAGCCUUGGUUCUUUCUAGUGACAAAUUAUAUUUAGAAAGAAGAUCUGGGUAUUUGACUUGUAUAUUGCUAUUAAUUGGCCAUUGUUUCUAGUCUCUUUCAGUAGACAGAGCUAAGAAAUGUAAAAGGAAAUAUUUGAAUGUAUGUAUAUGUGAUAUAUUAAGUACAUUUAAACAUAUUAAAUUCAUGAGUUCAUACUAAUACUUUCAAUAAGCCACAAUUCCCUUUUCAUGUUUUCGAAGGAAAAAUAUCCAUUGUCUAUAUACAGUGGACAUAGAUAGUAAUAAUACUGAUCUUGAAAAGAGCAGUCUUAAAUAGAUCCCAUUAAUAGUUAAAGAUAACAUAUCUUAGAAUUCUAGAUAUUAGAGAGAUUAUCUAGAGCUGUAAUCUAGAUAUUUUAUAGAUCUUUGCUGUGCUGUUUUGAAUUUGUGUUGGAGUAGAACAAUCAGAUGACAAAAGCUCAUCCCACAUGGAAAAAUCAAAGCAUUCAUUACAGAGAGAAUUUUGAAAUAAAUGCAUAUAUAAAAAAUAUAUAUGCAUAUAUAAUGCAUAUGUAUAUGCAUAUAAAAUAUAUAUAUAUAAAAUGAGGGUUAUAAACAAUGAAGGAAAUAGUGAUACUAUCUAUGUGGGAACAAUACUAGUAUCCUCCCUUUGGAUGAAUACAGUAGCUACAGAUGCAAUUCUGGGGACUCUGUUUAGCAAUAGCUUAACUAUUGCUUGGCUACAAGCAUGGAUAACUUGUUCAAAGAUAAUGAGGAGUUGUAAAUAUUUAAAUAAACAGGAUUUGCAACAUAAAAAGCUUUGUGACUAUGUGUCUGAAUUCUUAGAGUUUUCUCCCAGCAAGACCUUGGAUGUGGCAGACUUUUCUGUAAUUGUCCAUCUCGCCCCUAUUUCAUGAAAAGCCAGAGCUUCUCUACUUAGUUUGCUAACCCCAAAUAUAUAAAUUCAAUAGAAGUACUAGCCUGUUUUUACUGGUUUAUUUGCUUUAUCUAAAAAAAACAAGGCAUAGUUUAAAGUCUGUUUUUGAUAGCAUAACAAAACAAAGGUUCUCAUUUUAAUAAUGCAUCACAUAUACACUUGGUAACUAUUGCAUAGUAAUAAUUUAAUAACUUGAGAAAUAUAUUUAUGCAUGUAUGUGUAUAUGUUCAUAUAUAUGUUAUUUUUAAUUCAGAAGUAAAACAAAUAUUGGAAGAGGCCACAGUUAUUAUAAAAAUAAUUUGACCAGUAUUGGACAAUGCAAAUAGCAAUCAUUUAGAAGUUUCU
RNAcentral lists this long non-coding RNA (9213 nucleotides) under Homo sapiens (human). Its description in RNAcentral is "PREDICTED lncRNA (TCONS_00237991)". The record is from RNAcentral. Lineage: Eukaryota; Metazoa; Chordata; Mammalia; Primates; Hominidae.